CCUACGGGAGGCAGCAGUGGGGAAUAUUGCACAAUGGGGGAAACCCUGAUGCAGCGACGCCGCGUGAGUGAAGAAGUAUUUCGGUACGUAAAGCUCUAUCAGCAGGGAAGAAAAUGACGGUACCUGACUAAGAAGCCCCGGCUAACUACGUGCCAGCAGCCGCGGUAAUACGUAGGGGGCAAGCGUUAUCCGGAUUUACUGGGUGUAAAGGGAGCGUAGACGGCAGCGCAAGUCUGGAGUGAAAUCCCAUGGCUUAACCAUGGAACUGCUUUGGAAACUGUGCAGCUAGAGUGCAGGAGAGGUAAGCGGAAUGCCUAGUAUAGCGGUGAAAUGCGUAGAUAUUAGGAGGAACACCAGUGGCGAAGGCGGCUUACUGGACUGUAACUGACGUUGAGGCUCGAAAGCGUGGGGAGCAAACAGGAUUAGAUACCCUGGUAGUC
RNAcentral lists this ribosomal RNA (440 nucleotides) under uncultured bacterium. RNAcentral describes it as "partial 16S ribosomal RNA". It matches the Rfam family "Bacterial small subunit ribosomal RNA", at positions 338 to 795 of the family's 1533-position model. The record is from RNAcentral.